GAUGAAGAACGUAGCGAAAUGCGAUAAGUAGUGUGAAUUGCAGAAUUCCGUGAAUCAUCGAAUCUUUGAACGCACAUUGCGCCUUCUGGUAUUCCGGAAGGCAUGCCUGUUCGAGAGUCAUUAACAACCGUUUCGAUCCCUUUCUUUCAGAAAUUACAAAGAGGAAAAGGGUUUGGUUAUGGUGGAGGAGGGAAGGGGAGCGUUUAGCCUGUAAAAAAAGAGGCUGUGUUCCGCCUCCCCCCCAAAAUUGUACAGGCGGUCGUGUGCGCCCACGCAUCGAGGUGUUGUAAAAGCUGCCACGGCACUUUUCACCUGUGCAGUGCGAGAUUGGCCAGCCGGUUUAAAAACCCCUCCAAACAAUCAAAGGUUGACCUCGGAUCAGGUAGGGAUACCCGCUGAACUUAAGCAUAUCAAUAAGCGGAGGA
RNAcentral lists this unclassified non-coding RNA (425 nucleotides) under soil metagenome. RNAcentral's name for it is "partial contains 5.8S ribosomal RNA, internal transcribed spacer 2, and large subunit ribosomal RNA". The stretch from base 1 to 120 matches the Rfam family "5.8S ribosomal RNA", at positions 35 to 154 of the family's 154-position model. The record is from RNAcentral.